RNAcentral lists this ribosomal RNA (831 nucleotides) under Scytinostroma quintasianum. RNAcentral's name for it is "eukaryotic LSU rRNA". It matches the Rfam family "Eukaryotic large subunit ribosomal RNA", at positions 1 to 838 of the family's 3401-position model. Lineage: Eukaryota; Fungi; Basidiomycota; Agaricomycetes; Russulales; Lachnocladiaceae. The record is from RNAcentral.
ACCAACUUUGAACUCGACCUCAAAUCAGGUGGGACUACCCGCUGAACUUAAGCAUAUCAAUAAGCGGAGGAAAAGAAACUAACAAGGAUUCCCCUAGUAACUGCGAGUGAAGCGGGAAAAGCUCAAAUUUAAAAUCUGGCGGUCUCCUGGCCGUCCGAGUUGUAAUUUAGAGAAGCGUUUUCCGCGUCGGACCGUGUACAAGUCUCCUGGAACGGAGCGUCAUAGAGGGUGAGAAUCCCGUCUUUGACACGGACAGCCGGGGCUAUGUGAUACGCUCUCGAAGAGUCGAGUUGUUUGGGAAUGCAGCUCAAAAUGGGUGGUGAACUCCAUCUAAAGCUAAAUAUUGGCGAGAGACCGAUAGCGAACAAGUACCGUGAGGGAAAGAUGAAAAGCACUUUGGAAAGAGAGUGAAACAGUACGUGAAAUUGCUGAAAGGGAAACGCUUGAAGUCAGUCGCGUCCACCGGGACUCAGCCUUCGUGGUGUACUUUCCGGUGGACGGGUCAGCAUCACUUUCGGGUGCCGGAUAAUGGCGGAGGAAAUGUGGCACCCUUCGGGGUGUGUUAUAGUCCUUCGUCGGAUACGGUGUUCGGGAGUGAGGACUGCCUUUGUUGCAGGAUGCUGGCGUAAUGGCUUUAAACGACCCGUCUUGAAACACGGACCAAGGAGUCUAACAUGCCCGCGAGUGUUCGGGUGGCAAACCCGUGCGCGUAAUGAAAGUGAAAGGUUGGGAAGGCUGUCGUGGCCUGCACCGACGCCCGGACCUGAGAUUCAUCGACGGUUCUGCGGUAGAGCGUGUAUGUUGGGACCCGAAAGAUGGUGAACUAUGCCU